Molecule: ribosomal RNA, 320 nt
Filed under: uncultured eukaryote
Lineage: Eukaryota
Description: partial 18S ribosomal RNA
Rfam family: Eukaryotic small subunit ribosomal RNA
Source: RNAcentral
CCCUUAGAUGUUCUGGGCCGCACGCGCGCUACACUGACGAAUGCAACGAGCUUAUAACCUUGGCCGAAAGGUCUGGGUAAUCUCCAAAUUUCGUCGUGAUGGGGAUAGAUUAUUGCAAUUAUUAAUCUUCAACGAGGAAUGCCUAGUAAACGCAAGUCAUCAGCUUGCAUUGAUUACGUCCCUGCCCUUUGUACACACCGCCCGUCGCACCUACCGAUUGAAUGGUCCGGUGAAAUCUCGGGACGGCGGCUUGGUCGCUUGCGUCCGACUGCUGAAACUUGAUUAAACCAUAUCAUUUAGAGGAUGGUGAANUCGUANCA